RNAcentral lists this ribosomal RNA (872 nucleotides) under Calonectria ecuadorensis. RNAcentral describes it as "eukaryotic LSU rRNA". It matches the Rfam family "Eukaryotic large subunit ribosomal RNA", at positions 74 to 978 of the family's 3401-position model. The record is from RNAcentral. Lineage: Eukaryota; Fungi; Ascomycota; Sordariomycetes; Hypocreales; Nectriaceae.
AUUGCCCUAGUAACGGCGAGUGAAGCGGCAACAGCUCAAAUUUGAAAUCUGGCCCUCGGGUCCGAGUUGUAAUUUGUAGAGGAUGCUUUUGGUGAGGUGCCUUCCGAGUUCCCUGGAACGGGACGCCAUAGAGGGUGAGAGCCCCGUCUGGUUGGACACCAAACCUCUGUAAAGCUCCUUCGACGAGUCGAGUAGUUUGGGAAUGCUGCUCUAAAUGGGAGGUAUAUGUCUUCUAAAGCUAAAUACCGGCCAGAGACCGAUAGCGCACAAGUAGAGUGAUCGAAAGAUGAAAAGCACUUUGAAAAGAGAGUUAAAAAGUACGUGAAAUUGUUGAAAGGGAAGCGCUUAUGACCAGACUUGGGCUUGGUUGAUCAUCCUGGGUUCUCCCUGGUGCACUCUUCCAGUUCAGGCCAGCAUCAGUUCGCUGCGGGGGAUAAAAGUUUUGGGAAUGUGGCUCCCUCGGGAGUGUUAUAGCCCAUUGCAUAAUACCCUGCUCCGGACUGAGGUUCGCGCAUCUGCAAGGAUGCUGGCGUAAUGGUCAUCAGCGACCCGUCUUGAAACACGGACCAAGGAGUCGUCUUCGUAUGCGAGUGUUCGGGUGUUAAACCCCUACGCGUAAUGAAAGUGAACGCAGGUGAGAGCUUCGGCGCAUCAUCGACCGAUCCUGAUGUUCUCGGAUGGAUUUGAGUAAGAGCAUACGGGGCCGGACCCGAAAGAAGGUGAACUAUGCCUGUAUAGGGUGAAGCCAGAGGAAACUCUGGUGGAGGCUCGCAGCGGCUCUGACGUGCAAAUCGAUCGUCAAAUAUGGGCAUGGGGGCGAAAGACUAAUCGAACCUUCUAGUAGCUGGUUUCCGCCGAAGUUUCCCUCAGGA